This 492-nucleotide ribosomal RNA is filed under the name uncultured bacterium. RNAcentral describes it as "partial 16S ribosomal RNA". It matches the Rfam family "Bacterial small subunit ribosomal RNA", at positions 29 to 507 of the family's 1533-position model. The record is from RNAcentral.
AGUGAACACUGGCGGUAGGCCUAACACAUGCAAGUCGAACGGCAGCACAGUAAGAGCUUGCUCUUACGGGUGGCGAGUGGCGGACGGGUGAGGAAUACAUCGGAAUCUACUUUUUCGUGGGGGAUAACGUAGGGAAACUUACGCUAAUACCGCAUACGACCUACGGGUGAAAGCAGGGGAUCUUCGGACCUUGCGCGAUUGAAUGAGCCGAUGUCGGAUUAGCUAGUUGGCGGGGUAAAGGCCCACCAAGGCGACGGUCCGUAGCUGGUCUGAGAGGAUGAUCAGCCACACUGGAACUGAGACACGGUCCAGACUCCUACGGGAGGCAGCAGUGGGGAAUAUUGGACAAUGGGCGCAAGCCUGAUCCAGCCAUACCGCGUGGGUGAAGAAGGCCUUCGGGUUGUAAAGCCCUUUUGUUGGGAAAGAAAAGCAGCAGGUUAAUACCCCGCUGUUCUGACGGUACCCAAAGAAUAAGCACCGGCUAACUUCGUG